GACGAACGCUGGCGGCGUGCUUAACACAUGCAAGUCGAACGGAAAGGCCCUGCUUUUGUGGGGUGCUCGAGUGGCGAACGGGUGAGUAACACGUGAGUAACCUGCCCUUGACUUUGGGAUAACUUCAGGAAACUGGGGCUAAUACCGGAUAGGAGCUCCUGCUGCAUGGUGGGGGUUGGAAAGUUUCGGCGGUUGGGGAUGGACUAGCGGCUUAUCAGCUUGUUGGUGGGGUAGUGGCUUACCAAGGCUUUGACGGGUAGCCGGCCUGGGAGGGUGACCGGCCACAGUGGGACUGGGGUGCGGCCAGGACGCCUACGGGAGGCAGCAGUGGGGAAUAGUGCACGAAGGGCGGAGGCCGGAUGCAGGAACGCCGCGUGCGGGAUGACGGCCUUCGGGUUGGAAACAGCUUUCGCCUGUGACGAAGCGUGAGGGACGGUAAUGGGUAAAGAAGCACCGGCUAACUACGU
This 467-nucleotide ribosomal RNA is filed under the name uncultured bacterium. RNAcentral describes it as "partial 16S ribosomal RNA". It matches the Rfam family "Bacterial small subunit ribosomal RNA", at positions 28 to 506 of the family's 1533-position model. The record is from RNAcentral.